This 254-nucleotide ribosomal RNA is filed under the name uncultured bacterium. Its description in RNAcentral is "partial 16S ribosomal RNA". It matches the Rfam family "Bacterial small subunit ribosomal RNA", at positions 524 to 776 of the family's 1533-position model. The record is from RNAcentral.
UACGUAGGGUGCGAGCGUUUGUCCGGAAUUAUUGGGCGUAAAGAGCUCGUAGGCGGUUUGUCGCGUCUGCCGUGAAAGUCCGGGGCUCAACUCCGGAUCUGCGGCGGGUACGGGCAGACUAGAGUGAUGUAGGGGAGACUGGAAUUCCUGGUGUAGCGGUGAAAUGCGCAGAUAUCAGGAGGAACACCGAUGGCGAAGGCAGGUCUCUGGGCAUUAACUGACGCUGAGGAGCGAAAGCAUGGGGAGCGAACAGG